RNAcentral lists this long non-coding RNA (541 nucleotides) under Equus caballus (horse). RNAcentral's name for it is "lncRNA (ENSECAG00000059053.1)". The record is from RNAcentral. Lineage: Eukaryota; Metazoa; Chordata; Mammalia; Perissodactyla; Equidae.
UUCUGCCACUUUUUUCUGUAUCUACGAGGAAUGGCAUGUCUCUGGUAGAGGCUGCGGCUUUAGCAGAAUGAGAAUUUGUGUAGAUGUGGGACAGAGCAGAUAGUGAGCCACCAACACGCAGUGUGGGCUCCACUCUGGGAGCAUGGGCUACCAUCUUCAAGUCCACCACUGAGCCAAGAAGGGAGAUGGAGCAAAGAUGUCUCUCAAUGUCUUCCAAGUUUAAACUGAGAUGUAUGCAAAGAAAACAUCCAAGAUACAAAUGUUCUUGAGCCCUAGCUGGGAUGUUGUCCCCAAAUCACUAUGUAGGCUCUCAACCUGAGGAACUGUUCCAUUCUACCUAUCAGUUACAAAUAAAAUUAGUAAAAAUUAGUAAAAACUGCAAGGAAAUUGUGUUUGUUUCUAUUUGCCGUUACUGCUCAAAUAAUAGUGGCAGCCUGAAGCACUGGGUUUAAAAGAUUUUGAGGCUACAUCUGAAUAUGUUGGAGUACCACGAUACAAAAGUGAUUUCUUCUAUAGGUAUGCAUAAGAAAGGAAAUGUAUG